RNAcentral lists this ribosomal RNA (675 nucleotides) under uncultured archaeon. Its description in RNAcentral is "bacterial SSU rRNA". It matches the Rfam family "Archaeal small subunit ribosomal RNA", at positions 202 to 879 of the family's 1478-position model. The record is from RNAcentral.
GCUAAGGAUGGGUCUGCGGCCUAUCAGGUAGUAGUGGGUGUAGCGUACCUACUAGCCUACGACGGGUACGGGUUGUGAGAGCAAGAGCCCGGAGAUGGAUUCUGAGACAUGAAUCCAGGCCCUACGGGGCGCAGCAGGCGCGAAAACUUUACAAUGCGGGAAACCGCGAUAAGGGGACACCGAGUGCCAGCAUCCUAUGUUGGCUGUCCAUAUGUCUAAAUCACAUGUGUUAGCAAGGGCCGGGCAAGACCGGUGCCAGCCGCCGCGGUAACACCGGCGGCCCGAGUGGUGGCCACUAUUAUUGGGUCUAAAGGGUCCGUAGCCGGUUUGGUCAGUCUUCCGGGAAAUCUGACGGCUCAACCGUUAGGCUUUCGGGGGAUACUACCAGGCUUGGGACCGGGAGAGGUAAGAGGUACUACGGGGGUAGGAGUGAAAUCUUGUAAUCCCUGUGGGACCACCAGUGGCGAAGGCGUCUUACCAGAACGGGUCCGACGGUGAGGGACGAAAGCUGGGGGCACGAACCGGAUUAGAUACCCGGGUAGUCCCAGCUGUAAACUAUGCUCGCUAGGUGUCAGGGACGGUGCGACCGUUUCUGGUGCCGCAGGGAAGCCGUGAAGCGAGCCACCUGGGAAGUACGGUCGCAAGGCUGAAACUUAAGGAAUUGGCGGGGAGCAC